Asparagus officinalis (garden asparagus) is the source of this 1363-nucleotide long non-coding RNA. RefSeq lists it as uncharacterized. The record is from RefSeq and is a predicted model, not a curated record. The transcript is spliced from 7 exons. Lineage: Eukaryota; Viridiplantae; Streptophyta; Magnoliopsida; Asparagales; Asparagaceae.
UCACGCCACUCAAAUCACUAAUCACUAAACAUUGAUUAUUACCUUCUUCAUUUGUUAUCCCGUUACUCAAAUCAUUAAUCUCUCCUUUUUUUCUCUUGUUUCAGGCCAUCUCCAAUCAAGCCCUCCUCCAAUUCUAUCUCCGAUCCCAUCCUCCCCUAUUUACAGUCAAUUAGCAGUGAAUUGGGCAAAUUCGAGAGAAACCCAGAUGGGCCGGAUCAAAAGCUCAAGGCCCUUUUGGAGGAUUGCGUUCAGAGCCGAAGGGUCCGCCAAAAGAAAAACGACAGCAAUCUUUAGGGGGGGAAAUUGUCAAAGCCAAGAGAAAGAAGAUAUAGGAGGAUCAAGUCCAAAGAGCUAAGAGUCCCGCAGAUAAGUAGAAGUGCAGAAGUUUGCAAUGUGGAGAGUUAAACAUGCUCCGAGUUGUCGAAACUGAAAAGCUUGUUCAAAAUCAAAUGGAGAGUCUUCAUUUUGUUUGUGUGGUACUAUUGGUUUAGAAGUUGGAAUUUUAAUGUAUGAAAUCUCUAUAGCACUUGCAAGAGUUUUCUAUCAUGUAAAAGCGACCUUUCGAAUAGUUAUUGAAACAUUUAUCUCUUUUCUCUUCUUAUUUUUCAGAUAUAGUUCAUUGAUCCAACCUGUUAAAAAUUCCUGUACAAUGCUCUAUGUAGCCAUUCAUUCAGUUAAUUCAUAGGUAAAGAUACAAUAAAAUCAAGAGAUAAUAAAAUAUUCAUAGUUUGAGUUAAAAUUCCUUUGUUUUUCAUGAAGUAGGGAAUUAGUCCAAUACAGAAUUUUAACUGAAUAAUAAAACUAUUUUCACUUUCUACGACAAAGGUAUUUCAUACUAGAUUGCAGACAAGCUAUAAUGCUCCGAAGGGGAGUAAGUGUAAGUUCAGUGCAUUCAUUGCAUCACAAACACUGUGUUCAACUAUGCUUCUACCCUACAAUUCUUUUGGUGACUGCAGAAUUGAUGUUUCACUCUUUUCUAUUCAAUGUGAGAGAACUAUCAAUUAUAAAUCUCUUGUUCGUAAGAGAUUCUAUCGCUCCAUUGUUCGUAAGAGAUUUCUAUUCAGCUAUGCAGCGCUCAGGUGAAAAUGUAGCACUCAUGUCAAACUGAGGUUAGAGGAGGUACUCUCGUAGGGAGCAGCAGUACGAUACGACAUUCUAAUAUAGACGACGCUGAUAAUAGGGAUGCCGACAACGACGAUGACGAGGAAUGAGUGAGACUUGUUCUUAUAUUUAUGUAGUUUUAGAUUGUGUUAAGACAUGUUGUGACUUUUGAAUUUUACCUAUAUGUAAUAUAUUUGUGAUUUUAUUGUGUAGUGAAUGAAUAUUAUUUGAGCAUGCGAGAUGUGUUGUGAUUGUGAUUAUA